CUUAGCCAAUGCUAGCCUGAUUUACCCUUGACCAUGUCUAUGUCCAGUCAUAAUGACCUUGACAUUAUAACCAUAGCACAAAUCAAUCAAAGAAGUAGCAGUCUGAUCUCUCCAAUAGCCACAACUGGACUUCUGUGCUUACUCUUUAUCAACAAACGGGAAGAAGGUGUCAUUUAAAGUCUAGACAGCUAAUGGCCGUCCAUAAAAACUGGAAAGGAAGUCACUCGGCGUUUGUCCUUUCUUUCUUUUGUGUGAAGCGAUUUUAAAGCCUUCUUAACUACUGUCUGUUUCUUCCUCUUAGGCCAUUUUCCCUCUAAAAUAAGUCGAUGUGCAACAUAUUCGUGUUAAAGUGAAAAGAGUGAAGGGAUGAUCUGCCAGGGUUGGAUGAUAACUUUGCUCUCACGAAUUAAAUCCUUCGGGGAGAGAAGGAUGUUAAUAAGCAUCUAUACUUAAAUUUGGCUUUACAUUGAGAACAUUCCAAACCGAAAACAUACAGUCUGUUACAUUUUUGUUUGAAUGAUGUGGAACUUGGCAGAUUCCUGAUCCUGAAAUUGUUGGACAGCUUUCUAAGGAAAUGCAACUAUCUGUGGGAACACUUUGAUUGCAGAGGAAAGCAAAAUUAACUAGAUUGCUCAAUCUUAAAGGGCAUCUGCACUGAAAAAUAGACUGAAAAAAGGAAGUCUUGUGUUUGUGUGUGUCAUAGGGAAUGUUUUGCAUUUAUAUUAGAAAAUGCGUAUUAAUGUAAGUAGGUAGGACUUAGCAGGUUUCCAGACACUUUGAAAAAUCAUAAACACUUCUUAUAAAUACAAGUUGCCGGACUGUAUUAAUUGUCCAUGUAUUGCAGUUAAUCUAAAUGCGAUCAGUGCAACCCUUACACUUAUUAUUUAGAUUUUCUAAUAUGCCCCUGAUAUUUCACAUAACCUGGCAAUUUUCAGAGGCUGAUUUAGAGUGUGGGGGUUGCAGAGUAACCAGUUUUGAGUGAGACAUUAUUACUCUUUGAAAACCCCAGGAAAAGAAAAACAAAAUGCCUCUGUAUCCCAGAAUGCAUCCACACAAUACACACUGAGCUGAACAUUUGCUGGGAAAUUUGCUUCUUAUAGUUGUCCCUCAGCCACCCUGUGCUAGGGCUGAAUAAUGCAAUGUUAUACUCUUAUGGCACAGAGAAUUGUAUGAAACAGCAACUUUGUGAGGUAUCUAAUUUAGUCUAAUGGCACACAUAAUCUAGCUAAAUCGUUGGUGCUGCUGAUAUUUCAGUUAUCAAAGCAUUUAGAAUUUUCUGAUCUGCAUUCUGAUUUGAAAAAAAAAAAAAUCUUGUUUAAUGCAAAAAAAA
Long non-coding RNA from Xenopus tropicalis (tropical clawed frog), 1330 nucleotides. RefSeq lists it as uncharacterized. Lineage: Eukaryota; Metazoa; Chordata; Amphibia; Anura; Pipidae. The transcript has 2 exons. The record is from RefSeq and is a predicted model, not a curated record.